RNAcentral lists this ribosomal RNA (1554 nucleotides) under Salmonella enterica subsp. enterica serovar 43:a:1,7. Its description in RNAcentral is "bacterial SSU rRNA". It matches the Rfam family "Bacterial small subunit ribosomal RNA". The record is from RNAcentral. Lineage: Bacteria; Pseudomonadati; Pseudomonadota; Gammaproteobacteria; Enterobacterales; Enterobacteriaceae.
AAAUUGAAGAGUUUGAUCAUGGCUCAGAUUGAACGCUGGCGGCAGGCCUAACACAUGCAAGUCGAACGGUAGCAGGAAGCAGCUUGCUGCUUCGCUGACGAGUGGCGGACGGGUGAGUAAUGUCUGGGAAACUGCCUGAUGGAGGGGGAUAACUACUGGAAACGGUGGCUAAUACCGCAUAACGUCGCAAGACCAAAGAGGGGGACCUUCGGGCCUCUUGCCAUCAGAUGUGCCCAGAUGGGAUUAGCUAGUUGGUGAGGUAACGGCUCACCAAGGCGACGAUCCCUAGCUGGUCUGAGAGGAUGACCAGCCACACUGGAACUGAGACACGGUCCAGACUCCUACGGGAGGCAGCAGUGGGGAAUAUUGCACAAUGGGCGCAAGCCUGAUGCAGCCAUGCCGCGUGUAUGAAGAAGGCCUUCGGGUUGUAAAGUACUUUCAGCGGGGAGGAAGGUGUUGUGGUUAAUAACCGCAGCAAUUGACGUUACCCGCAGAAGAAGCACCGGCUAACUCCGUGCCAGCAGCCGCGGUAAUACGGAGGGUGCAAGCGUUAAUCGGAAUUACUGGGCGUAAAGCGCACGCAGGCGGUCUGUCAAGUCGGAUGUGAAAUCCCCGGGCUCAACCUGGGAACUGCAUUCGAAACUGGCAGGCUUGAGUCUUGUAGAGGGGGGUAGAAUUCCAGGUGUAGCGGUGAAAUGCGUAGAGAUCUGGAGGAAUACCGGUGGCGAAGGCGGCCCCCUGGACAAAGACUGACGCUCAGGUGCGAAAGCGUGGGGAGCAAACAGGAUUAGAUACCCUGGUAGUCCACGCCGUAAACGAUGUCUACUUGGAGGUUGUGCCCUUGAGGCGUGGCUUCCGGAGCUAACGCGUUAAGUAGACCGCCUGGGGAGUACGGCCGCAAGGUUAAAACUCAAAUGAAUUGACGGGGGCCCGCACAAGCGGUGGAGCAUGUGGUUUAAUUCGAUGCAACGCGAAGAACCUUACCUGGUCUUGACAUCCACAGAACUUUCCAGAGAUGGAUUGGUGCCUUCGGGAACUGUGAGACAGGUGCUGCAUGGCUGUCGUCAGCUCGUGUUGUGAAAUGUUGGGUUAAGUCCCGCAACGAGCGCAACCCUUAUCCUUUGUUGCCAGCGGUCCGGCCGGGAACUCAAAGGAGACUGCCAGUGAUAAACUGGAGGAAGGUGGGGAUGACGUCAAGUCAUCAUGGCCCUUACGACCAGGGCUACACACGUGCUACAAUGGCGCAUACAAAGAGAAGCGACCUCGCGAGAGCAAGCGGACCUCAUAAAGUGCGUCGUAGUCCGGAUUGGAGUCUGCAACUCGACUCCAUGAAGUCGGAAUCGCUAGUAAUCGUGGAUCAGAAUGCCACGGUGAAUACGUUCCCGGGCCUUGUACACACCGCCCGUCACACCAUGGGAGUGGGUUGCAAAAGAAGUAGGUAGCUUAACCUUCGGGAGGGCGCUUACCACUUUGUGAUUCAUGACUGGGGUGAAGUCGUAACAAGGUAACCGUAGGGGAACCUGCGGUUGGAUCACCUCCUUACCUUAAAGAAGC